UACAGAGGUCUCAAGCGUUGUUCGGAUUCACUGGGCGUAAAGGGCGCGUAGGCUGCGGGGCAAGUCGGGUGUGAAAUCUCAGAGCUCAACUCUGAAACUGCACUCGAUACUGCUUUGCUCGAGGACUGGAGAGGAGAUUGGAAUUCACGGUGUAGCAGUGAAAUGCGUAGAUAUCGUGAGGAAGACCAGUGGCGAAGGCGGAUCUCUGGACAGUUCCUGACGCUGAGGCGCGAAGGCCAGGGGAGCAAACGGG
Molecule: ribosomal RNA, 253 nt
Filed under: uncultured bacterium
Lineage: Bacteria
Description: partial 16S ribosomal RNA
Rfam family: Bacterial small subunit ribosomal RNA
Source: RNAcentral